Gallus gallus (chicken) is the source of this 2887-nucleotide long non-coding RNA. RefSeq lists it as uncharacterized. Lineage: Eukaryota; Metazoa; Chordata; Aves; Galliformes; Phasianidae. The transcript is spliced from 2 exons. The record is from RefSeq and is a predicted model, not a curated record.
GUACACAGCUAGCAUCUGCAGAAAGCACUUCCUGCCUUGCUACUUUGCUCUGUUUCCCUGUUUGUCUCAUUUACAGUUAGGCCUCCCUCUGCAGCCUCCAGGAUUCUGAAAGAGGCCUUAUUUCCAAGGGCAGCCACGGUUAGCAACGUGCCAGCACCCUGGGAGCACCCUUCUGGAGGUCUGACUGCCCAGGCUCAGGGCCCACCUGGAGACAGCAUUGUUCUGAUGUGUGACACUCAUCAAUAAGGUAAAUGGAGCCAAGCUGCAGACACCUUAAAGAAACUUUCGGAAGGUUCCACAUCCCUUCCCACUGCAAAUCAGGUCCUUCACAGAUUUCACAGUGAGGUGAAAGGCACUAAAAAAAAAUAAGCUUUGAAAAUGUUUGUUGUCUGCCAUUUUAAAUUUGAAGGAGAAAAGAAUAAAGAACAAUCCACCCAGUUACUGACUCUCUAUUUGGCAAAGCACUGGCCAAUGAAUUUAGUAGUUAGACAAUAUCUGAGAGUUUCUCAACAAUUCUGUAAACAUAUACAUGGAAAAUGCUUAUGGAGAUAAUACUUUCUAUUUCUAAUAUUUUUCCAUUCAAAAUAAAUGAGAUUAGAUAUUCUCAGCUGAUUUAAAUAAGGAGAUACAAUGCAAUAUGUAAGAGUGCUUGCAGCUGGAGUCAACAGAGACAACUGUUCAGGCACUGUGUAGUUCUGGUAUUCCCAGCAAAGUCUCCUGUGCCACCUUUUAUGUGUCACUGAAAUUCUUAAAUAUUCCUAAAGGGAAGAGAUAAUGAGAAACGGAGAAGCAGGAGGAAGUGUAAUCCAACAAAUCCUGGAGUGCCCUUUCAUUUUUUGAAGAAGGCACACAGACUAAUGAAAACACUGGCCUGAUUUCUGCCUUAGUAGAUUUGCUAACAGGGAAACAUGUCCAUUUUUUAAAUAACAAGAAUUUCUUAAAUACUUCCCUAUCACUGAAAGUCACUCCUUGCAGGAGUUACCACUAAAACCUACCCGCAUUACAACCGCUAGAUGUAUUGAGAGAGAAGAAGAGAUGUGAAAGCACUAGCUGUCUAGAAAUAAUAAGUAGAGAGAUUCUAAGUAUUUUAAACUCAAACAGCUAAUUAAGUUAAUCCAAUAUGUUCACUUUGUAAAUAAGAUAUAACAUUGAAAAAUAUGGAAGCGUGAUAUUUCUGGAAUUAAAAAGGAAUUGUAACAUUAGCAUUGUCUGCCAAGGCACUGCAGCUCUGCACAAUACCCAAUAUACCCACCUAUUUAAAAUGGAUUGCCCCAAAAGACACAAUGCAAGAGCAUCAAAACGUAGGUGGAAAAAGUGGGCAGACAUAAAACAACAUCAACAUCCCAUUCUGAUGAUGUGAUAAUGCAUCAGAGAAGGUAGGCAGAGAAAGGCUAAACUAAAAUGGCUGAAACACAUAUUUGGCAGGCUAACGUUUCAGAAAGAGCAUGAUAUGAUCCCAGUUUUAGGUUUAGUAAGUCUCAGCUACAGAGGGAGGUUCUCCAUCUGUGAAGUGCUUUCUGCAGAUCAGAUCAGCAGGCACAGGCAGAAGAAAACAGGCAAUCCUAGCAAAAAGAGUAUGACAGAACUAAACUAGGUCCAUGGUUUCCCAAGGGCAGAGAACACAUCGACUUCUGUGAUCCAGUGAGUCUUGUGAUGCCAGUAGUGUCUGUCACCACCCAGAAGUCAGAUCCGGAAUUACGUGACUUGUCUUCUCCUAUUUCAAUUUCGAACAUUUUUGAUCACAAAGAAAAAUGAAAACACAAAACCAACAGUUCGAAAUCUAGAAAAGAAGUAAACAGGUCUUCAAGACUAAUGAGAGGCUUUAUGCUUUUAGACAAUUUGAAUUUAAAGCUCUGGCACAGAACUGUCAAAAGGCAACCACUGGUAGUGGUUUAUCCUCCUUCUGAACGCAUCAUGGCUGUUUCUGAAAACUGUUUUGAAUAACAGAAAAAAGAGCCAACGUUGAGGGAGACACAAAAGAGCCAACCACCAAUGAAUCAUCUGAAGGCAUCCCCGAUGCACAUAAUUACCAUGCCAUUAAGCAACAGUCAUUGCAAUUAAGUAUUGUUUGGCUUAAAUCAGUUACCUGGAAUGUCUUCUGAUCAGGCCUGUUCCAAUUAAGUGGCACUUACUUAUUACCUUAAUCAUGCUGUAUCAGUUCAAAGCAGCAUAGUACAGCUUCACCUUGAAAACAAUCAGCCUAACAUUUGGCAACCAAAAGCAACAGCCCUCGAGUUCCCAAAUGAAAGAAAACCGAUAUAUAAGCAUAAAGCAUCGCUAUAUUGUCUCCUCACAUUUCCUUUUGUUCCUAGAAUUCUACUCACAUAAUUAUUAAAGCUGCUACCAGUUGAAGAAGUUCUGUUUAAAAACAAAAGAGAUUAAAUGCAUACUAAAUGCCACACAUUGUGCUACUGCCUAGCAGGAAGAUGCCAGGGAGAACAUUAAACACCGAAUCAGCAGGACAAUGCUUAAAUCUCUCACUACAAUUUCAUUUGUAGGAACUGAAAUAUCUGUACUCCCUGUCCUCCCACACAACUGGCUGCGUGUGUCAGUUUUAAGCACGUUUUGCCAUACUAACUUAACUGAGCUCAUUGUUCCAGUAUGCAUACCUCUUCCGUUUUAGAGUAUUGUUUAUUGCUCAUUCAAAACCAAUAGGUUUCACUCAAAAAAAAUAACCACACUACUUCUUACCUGUAAUCAUUUAAUUAAGGCACAUAUAAAAAUGUAAGAAAAUGUUACACGGGUGGCAUUUUUACUGCUUGGCUGUAAAAUAACCGGAGUUUUCAGACAGACAAAUAUAUCUAAAUAAACAUCAACUUGUGCAUAGCAAUGUGAACGUGUAUUUCGGUUUUCAGUUGAUGGAUGAAAAUAAAAGGAAAACAAACAA